This 460-nucleotide ribosomal RNA is filed under the name uncultured bacterium. Its description in RNAcentral is "partial 16S ribosomal RNA". It matches the Rfam family "Bacterial small subunit ribosomal RNA", at positions 338 to 795 of the family's 1533-position model. The record is from RNAcentral.
CCUACGGGGGGCUGCAGUGAGGAAUAUUGGUCAAUGGGCGCGAGUCUGAACCAGCCAAGUAGCGUGAAGGAUGACUGCCCUACGGGUUGUAAACUUCUUUUAUAAAGGAAUAAAGUGAUGCACGUGUGCGUUUUUGUAUGUACUUUAUGAAUAAGGAUCGGCUAACUCCGUGCCAGCAGCCGCGGUAAUACGGAGGAUCCGAGCGUUAUCCGGAUUUAUUGGGUUUAAAGGGAGCGUAGAUGGGUUGUUAAGUCAGUUGUGAAAGUUUGCGGCUCAACCGUAAAAUUGCAAUUGAUACUGGCAGUCGUGAGUACAGUUGAGGUAGGCGGAAUUCGUGGUGUAGCGGUGAAAUGCUUAGAUAUCACGAAGAACUCCGAUUGCGAAGGCAGUUUACUAAACUGCCACUGACAUUGAUGCUCGAAAGUGUGGGUAUCAAACAGGAUUAGAUACCCCUGUAGUC